This 252-nucleotide ribosomal RNA is filed under the name uncultured bacterium. RNAcentral's name for it is "partial 16S ribosomal RNA". It matches the Rfam family "Bacterial small subunit ribosomal RNA", at positions 524 to 776 of the family's 1533-position model. The record is from RNAcentral.
UACGGAGGAUCCGAGCGUUAUCCGGAUUUAUUGGGUUUAAAGGGUGCGCAGGCGGAGGUGCAAGUCAGUGGUCAAAUUGCGGGGCUCAACCCCGUACUGCCGUUGAAACUGUUUCCCUUGAGUAUCGGAGAGGUCAUCGGAAUUCCUAGUGUAGCGGUGAAAUGCGUAGAUAUUAGGAAGAACACCAGUGGCGAAGGCGGAUGACUGGACGACAACUGACGGUGAGGCGCGAAAGCGUGGGGAGCAAACAGG